GAUGAAGAACGCAGCGAAAUGCGAUAAGUAGUGUGAAUUGCAGAAUUCAGUGAAUCAUCGAAUCUUUGAACGCACAUUGCGCCCCUUGGUAUCCCGAGGGGCAUGCCUGUUCGAGCGUCAUUUCACCACUCAAGCCUGGCUUGGUGUUGGGCGACGUCCCCUUUGGGGACGCGCCUCGAAACGCUCGGCGGCGUGGCACCGGCUUUAAGCGUAGCAGAAUCUUUCGCUUUGGAAGUCGGGGCCCCGUCUGCCGGAAGACCUACUCGCAGGGUUGACCUCGGAUCAGGCAGGGAUACCCGCUGAACUUAAGCAUAUCAAUAAGCGGAGGA
RNAcentral lists this unclassified non-coding RNA (329 nucleotides) under soil metagenome. RNAcentral's name for it is "partial contains 5.8S ribosomal RNA, internal transcribed spacer 2, and large subunit ribosomal RNA". The stretch from base 1 to 120 matches the Rfam family "5.8S ribosomal RNA", at positions 35 to 154 of the family's 154-position model. The record is from RNAcentral.